UACGUAGGGUGCGAGCGUUGUCCGGGAUUAUUGGGCGUAAAGAGCUCGUAGGCGGUCUGUCGCGUCGGAUGUGAAAGCCCGGGGCUUAACCCCGGGUCUGCAUUCGAUACGGGCAGACUAGAGUGUGGUAGGGGAGAUCGGAAUUCCUGGUGUAGCGGUGAAAUGCGCAGAUAUCAGGAGGAACACCGGUGGCGAAGGCGGAUCUCUGGGCCAUUACUGACGCUGAGGAGCGAAAGCGUGGGGAGCGAACAGG
This 253-nucleotide ribosomal RNA is filed under the name uncultured bacterium. Its description in RNAcentral is "partial 16S ribosomal RNA". It matches the Rfam family "Bacterial small subunit ribosomal RNA", at positions 524 to 776 of the family's 1533-position model. The record is from RNAcentral.